This 183-nucleotide ribosomal RNA is filed under the name Glomus cerebriforme. Lineage: Eukaryota; Fungi; Glomeromycota; Glomeromycetes; Glomerales; Glomeraceae. The record is from RNAcentral.
CAGUAAUACUGACGGGAAAUCAACUUCUCGAGCGUGGUUUAGUGGGAUCAAAGUGCCUUUGUUCUCACGAUAUCUGCGUUCUUUUGGCGCACUUUCUUGUAUUGUAGGUUAGCAUCGGUUUUGAUCGUCAUAAAAUGACUGGAGGAAUGUGGCUUCGACUUCGGUUGAAGUGUUAUAGACUCU